AAUCAACGCUGGCGGCGUGCCUAACACAUGCAAGUCGUGCGCGAAAGGGGCUUCGGCCCUGAGUAGAGCGGCAAACGGGUGAGUAACGCGUGGGUGACCUACCCUUGAGUGGGGGAUAACAGUCCGAAAGGAUUGCUAAUACCGCAUGACAUCCUGUUCUUGAACGGAUGGAGAUCAAAGCCGGGGAUCGCAAGACCUGGCGCUCGAGGAGGGGCUCGCGUUCGAUUAGCUAGUUGGUGGGGUAAUGGCUCACCAAGGCGACGAUCGAUAGCCGGCCUGAGAGGGCGGACGGCCACACUGGGACUGAGACACGGCCCAGACUCCUACGGGAGGCAGCAGUGGGGAAUUGUUCGCAAUGGGCGCAAGCCUGACGACGCAACGCCGCGUGGAGGAUGAAGAUCUUCGGGUCGUAAACUCCUGUCGACCGGGACGAAAUUUCCGGGAGCUAACAUCUCCCGGGAUUGACGGUACCGGUGGAGGAAGCCCCGGCUAACUCCGUGCCAGCAGCC
This 509-nucleotide ribosomal RNA is filed under the name uncultured bacterium. RNAcentral describes it as "bacterial SSU rRNA". It matches the Rfam family "Bacterial small subunit ribosomal RNA", at positions 28 to 516 of the family's 1533-position model. The record is from RNAcentral.